This 1006-nucleotide ribosomal RNA is filed under the name Acrogenospora terricola. RNAcentral describes it as "SSU rRNA". The record is from RNAcentral. Lineage: Eukaryota; Fungi; Ascomycota; Dothideomycetes; Minutisphaerales; Acrogenosporaceae.
CUGCGAAUGGCUCAUUAAAUCAGUUAUCGUUUAUUUGAUAGUACCUUACUACUUGGAUAAYCGUGGUAAUUCUAGAGCUAAUACAUGCUAAAAACCCCGACUUCGGGAGGGGUGUAUUUAUUAGAUAAAAAACCAACGCCCUUCGGGGCUCCUUGGUGAUUCAUAAUAACUAAACGAAUCGCAUGGCCUUGCGCCGGCGAUGGUUCAUUCAAAUUUCUGCCCUAUCAACUUUCGAUGGUAGGAUAGUGGCCUACCAUGGUAUCAACGGGUAACGGGGAAUUAGGGUUCUAUUCCGGAGAGGGAGCCUGAGAAACGGCUACCACAUCCAAGGAAGGCAGCAGGCGCGCAAAUUACCCAAUCCCGACUCGGGGAGGUAGUGACAAUAAAUACUGAUACAGGGCUCUUACGGGUCUUGUAAUUGGAAUGAGUACAAUUUAAAUCCCUUAACGAGGAACAAUUGGAGGGCAAGUCUGGUGCCAGCAGCCGCGGUAAUUCCAGCUCCAAUAGCGUAUAUUAAAGUUGUUGCAGUUAAAAAGCUCGUAGUUGAACCUUGGGCCUGGCUGGCCGGUCCGCCUCACCGCGUGCACUGGUCCGGCCGGGCCUUUCCUUCUGGGGAUCCGCAUGCCCUUUACUGGGUGUGUCGGGGAACCAGGACUUUUACUUUGAAAAAAUUAGAGUGUUCAAAGCAGGCCUUCGCUCGAAUACAUUAGCAUGGAAUAAUAGAAUAGGACGUGCGGUUCUAUUUUGUUGGUUUCUAGGACCGCCGUAAUGAUUAAUAGGGAUAGUCGGGGGCAUCAGUAUUCAAUUGUCAGAGGUGAAAUUCUUGGAUUUAUUGAAGACUAACUACUGCGAAAGCAUUUGCCAAGGAUGUUUUCAUUAAUCAGUGAACGAAAGUGAGGGGAUCGAAGACGAUCAGAUACCGUCGUAGUCUUAACCAUAAACUAUGCCGACUAGGGAUCGGGCGAUGUUACUAUUCUGACUCGCUCGGCACCUUACGAGAAAUCAA